GAUGAACGCUGGCGGCAUGCCUAAUACAUGCAAGUCGAACGAGAGGAAGGAAAGCUUGCUUUUCUGAAUCUAGUGGCGAACGGGUGAGUAACACGUAGGUAACCUGCCCAUGUGCCCGGGAUAACUUCUGGAAACGGAUGCUAAAACCGGAUAGGUAGCAGACAAGCAUUUGACUGCUAUUAAAGUGGCUAAGGCCAUGAACAUGGAUGGACCUGCGGUGCAUUAGCUAGUUGGUGAGGUAACGGCCCACCAAGGCGACGAUGCAUAGCCGGCGUGAGGGGGCGGACGGCCACAUUGGGACUGAGACACGGCCCAAACUCCUACGGGAGGAAGCAGUAGGGAAUUUUCGUCAAUGGGGGGAACCCUGAACGAGCAAUGCCGCGUGAGUGAGGAAGGUCUUCGGAUCGUAAAGCUCUGUUGUAAGAGAAAAACGACAUUCAUAGGGAAUGAUGAGUGAGUGAUGGUAUCUUACCAGAAAGUCACGGCUAACUACGUGCCAGCCGCCGCCGUAA
This 512-nucleotide ribosomal RNA is filed under the name uncultured bacterium. RNAcentral's name for it is "partial 16S ribosomal RNA". It matches the Rfam family "Bacterial small subunit ribosomal RNA", at positions 28 to 523 of the family's 1533-position model. The record is from RNAcentral.